RNAcentral lists this ribosomal RNA (292 nucleotides) under uncultured eukaryote. RNAcentral describes it as "partial 18S ribosomal RNA". It matches the Rfam family "Eukaryotic small subunit ribosomal RNA", at positions 1470 to 1796 of the family's 1831-position model. The record is from RNAcentral.
CCCUUAGACGCUCUAGGCGGCACGCGCGCUACAAUGGGUGGUAGAACGUGUAACUGCUCCCGAAAGGGAGGGUGAACCACGAAUACUUACCCGUGAAUGGGAUAGUUUGUUGCAAUUUUCGGACUUGAACUAGGAAUCCCUUGUAAGAAUGCUCAAGAAUAGCGUGCUGAAUACGUCCCUGCCGUUUGUACACACCGCCCGUCGUUUCUUCCGACUGAUACUCAUUGUGAGUUGCAAGGAUUCUUAUUGAAAAAUUGCUGCGAAUGCUUUAGAGGAAGGAGAAGUCGUAACA